UGCAGAUAGUGGAUGCCUUGGCAACACAUGCCGAAGAAGGACGCACUAGACGGCGAAACUCGCCGGGGAGCUGUCAAGAAGCUUUGAUCCGGUGGUGUCCGAAUGGGGAAACCCGGCCCAGGUUAUUCUGGGUCAUCCGUGGCUUUUGUCACGGAAGGGUACGCGCAGAACUGAAAUAUCUAAGUACGCGCUGGAAAAGACAUCGAAAGAGAUUCCCUGAGUAAGCGACGAGCGAAAAGGGAACAGCCUAAACCCAUCGUAAGAUGGGGGUUGCAGGAGCCCAAUAUUGGAUUGUAUCUGUUGAAUAGAACGCUAUGGAAUGAGCGACCAAAGAACGUGACAGUCGUGUAUAUGAAAAACAGAUGCACCAUAGGGAUUUCCUAAGUACUUUCGGAGACGGCAAACUCCGGGAAGAAUCUGGGGCGACCACGCUCCAAGGCUAAAUACAUGUGUUGACCGAUAGCGAACGAGUACCGUGAGGGAAAGGUGAAAAGAAGGGUCGAAGACCCCGUGAAAUAGAAACUGAAACUAUCUGCUAACAAGCAGACAGAGUCCGCAAGGAUGAUGUCGUGCCUAUUGAA
RNAcentral lists this ribosomal RNA (581 nucleotides) under Candidatus Yonathbacteria bacterium. RNAcentral's name for it is "bacterial LSU rRNA". It matches the Rfam family "Bacterial large subunit ribosomal RNA", at positions 16 to 612 of the family's 2925-position model. Lineage: Bacteria; Candidatus Yonathiibacteriota. The record is from RNAcentral.